UACAGAGGUCCCAAGCGUUGUUCGGAUUUACUGGGCGUAAAGGGCGCGUAGGCGGCGUGACAAGUCACUUGUGAAAUCUCCGGGCUUAACCCGGAGCGGUCAAGUGAUACUGUCGUGCUAGAGUGCGGAAGGGGCUACUGGAAUUCUCGGUGUAGCGGUGAAAUGCGUAGAUAUCGAGAGGAACACCUGCGGCGAAGGCGGGUAGCUGGGCCGACACUGACGCUGAUGCGCGAAAGCCAGGGGAGCGAACGGG
RNAcentral lists this ribosomal RNA (253 nucleotides) under uncultured bacterium. Its description in RNAcentral is "partial 16S ribosomal RNA". It matches the Rfam family "Bacterial small subunit ribosomal RNA", at positions 524 to 776 of the family's 1533-position model. The record is from RNAcentral.